RNAcentral lists this ribosomal RNA (575 nucleotides) under uncultured bacterium. Its description in RNAcentral is "partial 16S ribosomal RNA". It matches the Rfam family "Bacterial small subunit ribosomal RNA", at positions 355 to 923 of the family's 1533-position model. The record is from RNAcentral.
UGGGGAAUUUUGGACAAUGGGCGAAAGCCUGAUCCAGCAAUGCCGCGUGUGUGAAGAAGGCCUUCGGGUUGUAAAGCACUUUUGUCCGGAAAGAAAUCCUUGGCUCUAAUACAGUCGGGGGAUGACGGUACCGGAAGAAUAAGCACCGGCUAACUACGUGCCAGCAGCCGCGGUAAUACGUAGGGUGCAAGCGUUAAUCGGAAUUACUGGGCGUAAAGCGUGCGCAGGCGGUUUGCUAAGACCGAUGUGAAAUCCCCGGGCUCAACCUGGGAACUGCAUUGGUGACUGGCAGGCUAGAGUAUGGCAGAGGGGGGUAGAAUUCCACGUGUAGCAGUGAAAUGCGUAGAGAUGUGGAGGAAUACCGAUGGCGAAGGCAGCCCCCUGGGCCAAUACUGACGCUCAUGCACGAAAGCGUGGGGAGCAAAACAGGAUUAGAUACCCUGGUAGUCCACGCCCUAAACGAUGUCAACUAGUUGUUGGGGAUUCAUUCCUUAGUAACGUAGCUAACGCGUGAAGUUGACCGCCUGGGGAGUACGGUCGCAAGAUUAAAACUCAAAUGAAUUGACGGGGUCAUA